Molecule: non-coding RNA, 3005 nt
Organism: Struthio camelus australis
Lineage: Eukaryota; Metazoa; Chordata; Aves; Struthioniformes; Struthionidae
Source: RefSeq, a predicted model, not a curated record
GUGCUCACUCACGCCUGUCGGUGCGCGGUCCAGCCUGGGACAUGUCGGCGCAGAUGAAGGAGACGCGCAGAGCCAGGGGGUUGCCUGCAAGCACCAGCUGAAGCCGACACUGAAAGUACAGCAAAAAAGGACACGUGACGUCUUCAGCAUGGGGCCGCUACACAUCAAGGCAGCCUGGAAAACAACUUUAGGCCUGUGAAUGUGUCAGUCUCACAUCUUGGGAUCCAUGCACGUGAGUCUGAGAUUCAACAGCGAAGCAAUCAGUGAGGACUUAGAGAUGCCAUUUUAAGUGUGCUGUGCAGAGAGGUUUCUUCCUUGCUUUUAGGUUUUUUGGAAAUAAACCCAAGCAACUUGGAAGCAGAUCUUCUGUGGAGGAGCUCUUCAAAACCACCCAAAAUUGAUGGCAGGACAACUCUGCAAAGCUUGCCUCGCCACUGCCUGGACGCAACACGCCCGGAACUGCUUUCCCACACAGGGACUUCAGACAUCGCCCGCUGCCUUCUCACGGGAACAAGCUGCACAUAACCGCUCGUUAAUCUGACUCAAGGUGGUGUUCCUCUCUGGGAGUCCACCCAGUGCAAUCUGGACAUCCUCUGUGCUCUUGACUUAGGAGGUUUGGAGCUGUUUUUGACAUCUUGGUUUAUACACAUGUUCUUUUCAGGCAGGCCAGAUGCUAGAGCAGGCCAGAUGCUCACCGCACAUAACACGCUCUCAUUUGAGUGAUCUGAAGGCAAGAGAUGGAGGGAAGAAGCACCUGCUCUGCACUGCUACUACCAUCUUUCCAUGAGGAGAGGCUCAGUUUCUCUCUGCUCAUAGCCCUUGUAAAGUUUCUUGCUCCCAUCAAGUGAUUAAAAUACCUUGUGACAGUCUGGAUGUAAAGAAGGUGCUGGAAGCCGCCUGACCUCAUGGCUGCCUCGCAACUGUAGCCAGCCACUGCGCUGGGUGUAACAGGACCUGGUGCGAAGGGUUGCAGCCUAGGUAGAGUGCAGGAGGUCCUCUACCCAUAGAAGUUACUUGUAAGUUACAACCAUUCAUUUGUGGUGACGGGAUCGUCUGAAGUGGCGAUAGUGAGGGAUCAAUUUGCUAAUGCUACCCUCUUUUUGCUUUCAUAACGUUACAAUCACUUAGUGGGACUUGAAUUUGAUCCAACAUUUCAUUUUCAGUGAACCGAGGAAGUAACUUCAAAUAGCUGAAAACUUACCUAAUUUCUCUGCCUUUAAUUCUUCAGCUUCUACUUCUAUUUACAUCCAUUCCUUGUAGUAGUGGUUCAAAAACGUGCAAAACGCUACCUACACACGAGAACAUACAGUCCUUGCCUCAAAGAUUAAUUUCAGUGACAGCCUCGGGAUCUUAAUACUUCAACUCCUUUUUUUGUUAAAACUAUGAAAGACCAUGGGCAGCCUCCAGUACCCUUUAAAAAAAAAUAAAUAAAAAUAAAACAAAACUUCUUUCGGCCAGCCAGAAAAAGAUGAGCUUUUUUCCCCAGUCUUGGCCUCUCUGCAAUUAUCUGUGCUUUUAAAUCUCCACAUUCAUUUUUCCUGUGGACCCUUAACAGCACCAACAUCCAUGCUUCCUUCACCACGCUAGGGUCUUUCACGGUGGUGGUGACUGUCUCUAAUGCCAUGUGUGCUCUGCCCCAGGCUUAUGAGAGGACUCUUCCCAUACCCUCUGGUUGUGGUUCCCCCGAUUUCCCCUGCCCAGCCAUCUGUAGUGCAGGCUAGUUGUAAGCCCUUGUCCUUUUAGCCUUCUGCUCUGACCUCCCUGGGAAGUUUUGAUGAUCAGCCUGUAUUUUGGGUUGCGUGCUAUUCACCUUCUGCUUUGUUUCUGAGUUCGCUUUUGUUCUGGUGUUCUCGUUCCGCGAAUUAUAUUUGCACCACUUUUUUUCCUUUUCAUAGUUUGACACCUACUGUACCACACCAACAUGCUUCUGUCACAGGCUGUGCGACACCUGCAAAAUAGAAUCCACAGGCAAUAGAACGAGACACAUUUUAAGAGCAGGAAAUAAACGAACACGUAGAGAUGUAAUACUUCCAGCCCAAUCUCCUAACGUUACUCCUUUGUUUAAAUAUGUGAGCAAUCCCAUUUGAUCUACUCUGGUGCUUACAGUUAAGCUUAUUAAGUGUUUGCACGGCAGUGGUCUACAUGCAGAGGAGUCAGAAGAGAAGGGAAAGAAAAGGAGUGUGACACUGCUUAAAAGGGGAGUUCUGGCGGUAGGAAACAAUGCCUUGCUCUCCUUCCCCCCAGGGCAAUGUUCUCUUUUCAGCUGCUCACGGUACUGUACAGCACUGGCAUCAGGCUCUCCCUCUGUGUUUGGUGUUUUCAUUGACAUUAGCUAUGUAAAUGCAGUAAUAAUUAGGGCUGUCAAGACGAAAAAAAUAUUUCAAAAUUGUUGCCAAAACAAAAGCCUGAUUUUUUUUUUUUUUUAAAUUCCAGGUUGAACUCAGUGAUUCAUUUUGUCUCAAAUUAUAUGUCAUUUUAUUUUCAAGGUGUUUUUCUGACUACUCACUAAAAUUGUACUCAUUGUCACUAUUUUCAGACAACUAUGUGGGAGAGAACAGUUAUCACUGUUUCUACAAUGAGAACUCUGGGCAGAAAAGCACUUAUGCACUUGCUUCCUUCACUUGCGAAGGAUUUAGGCACGUACUUAAACUUAAGUAUAAGUACUUUUUGGAACAAGGAUGUCUCAUAGAAUCAGGGCUUGAUUCAGAAGCUGUACAUCUAAGGAGCUCCGUCUCUUAACUCCUCGCUCUAAGCACUAGAAAAUCUCCUGCUUCAGCAGUAUAAAACAGUGUCAUGCUGUUUGAUACAUUUCUUGGCACAUACACAUUCUAAUUCACAAUAAUAUCAUUUCUUUCCUUUUUUAGUUUGCUUUUCUUUGGGUGCAAUGUACUAUGUUUUACUGUAUGUACUACUACAUACUGCUUGCACAAUGUUUUGCAUGAUCUAAUAUUCUUUGUUCAAAACUGCAAAAAAAUCUAAAUAAAGACUAUAGUGUGUCGCAUCAG